CCCUUAGAUGUUCUGGGCGGCCCGCGCACUACAUUGGCACUAUCAACAAGCACCUUGAUUGAAACCUUUCGGGUAUUCUAGCAACUGGUGUCGUGACUGGGAUAAAUCCCUGUAAUUAUUGGUUUUGAACGAGGAAUUCCUUGUAAUCGCGAUUUAUCAGCUCGUGUUGAAUGCGUCCCUGCCCUUUGUACACACCGCCCGUCGCUCCUACCGAUGAAUCGUCCGGUGAAGCUCAUGGAGUAGUGACCACGUGUUGCUUUCAAAGUGAUAUGGACCUCACGAUUUAGAGGAAGGAGAANUCGUANCA
Molecule: ribosomal RNA, 307 nt
Filed under: uncultured eukaryote
Lineage: Eukaryota
Description: partial 18S ribosomal RNA
Rfam family: Eukaryotic small subunit ribosomal RNA
Source: RNAcentral